Molecule: ribosomal RNA, 600 nt
Filed under: uncultured bacterium
Lineage: Bacteria
Description: bacterial SSU rRNA
Rfam family: Bacterial small subunit ribosomal RNA
Source: RNAcentral
GAGUUUGAUCAUGGCUCAGGACGAACGCUGGCGGCGUGCCUAACACAUGCAAGUCGAGCGAAUGAAGGAAGGAGCUUGCUCCUUCUGGAUUUAGCGGCGGACGGGUGAGUAACACGUGGGUAACCUGCCUCAAAAUGGGGGAUAGCCUUUCGAAAGGAAGAUUAAUACCGCAUAACAUUACACUUUCGCAUGAAAGAGUAAUCAAAGGAGUAAUCCGAUUUGAGAUGGACCCGCGGCGCAUUAGCUAGUUGGUGAGGUAACGGCUCACCAAGGCCACGAUGCGUAGCCGACCUGAGAGGGUGAUCGGCCACAUUGGAACUGAGAGACGGUCCAGACUCCUACGGGAGGCAGCAGUGGGGAAUAUUGCACAAUGGGCGAAAGCCUGAUGCAGCAACGCCGCGUGAGUGAUGACGGCCUUCGGGUUGUAAAGCUCUUUGAUUGGGGACGAUAAUGACGGUACCCAAAGAACAAGCCACGGCUAACUACGUGCCAGCAGCCGCGGUAAUACGUAGGUGGCAAGCGUUGUCCGGAUUUACUGGGCGUAAAGGAUGCGUAGGUGGAUAUAUAAGUGAGAUGUGAAAUACCCGAACUCAACUUGGG